GUAGGUGGCAAGCGUUGUCCGGAAUUAUUGGGCGUAAAGCGCGCGCAGGCGGUCCUUUAAGUCUGAUGUGAAAGCCCACGGCUCAACCGUGGAGGGUCAUUGGAAACUGGGGGACUUGAGUACAGAAGAGGAAAGCGGAAUUCCAAGUGUAGCGGUGAAAUGCGUAGAGAUUUGGAGGAACACCAGUGGCGAAGGCGGCUUUCUGGUCUGUAACUGACGCUGAGGCGCGAAAGCGUGGGGAGCAAACAGGAUUAGAUACCCUGGUAGUCCACGCCGUAAACGAUGAGUGCUAAGUGUUAGGGGGUUUCCCGCCCCCUUAGUGCUGCAGCUAACGCAUUAAGCACUCCGCCUGGGGAGUACGCCGCAAGGCUG
Molecule: ribosomal RNA, 372 nt
Filed under: uncultured organism
Description: partial 16S ribosomal RNA
Rfam family: Bacterial small subunit ribosomal RNA
Source: RNAcentral